RNAcentral lists this ribosomal RNA (292 nucleotides) under uncultured bacterium. RNAcentral describes it as "partial 16S ribosomal RNA". It matches the Rfam family "Bacterial small subunit ribosomal RNA", at positions 505 to 796 of the family's 1533-position model. The record is from RNAcentral.
GUGCCAGCCGCCGCGGUAAUACGGAGGGUGCAAGCGUUAUUCGGAAUUACUGGGCGUAAAGCGCGUGCAGGCGGUUAGACAAGUCUGAUGUGAAAGCCCCGGGCUUAACCUGGGAAGUGCAUUGGAAACUGUUUGACUUGAGUAUCGGAGAGGAAGGGAGAAUUCCCGGUGUAGAGGUGAAAUUCGUAGAGAUCGGGAGGAACACCAGUGGCGAAGGCGCCCUUCUGGACGAUAACUGACGCUGAGACGCGAAAGCGUGGGGAGCAAACAGGAUUAGAAACCCCGGUAGUCC